Pelobates cultripes (western spadefoot toad) is the source of this 522-nucleotide non-coding RNA. The record is from the annotation of a GenBank genome assembly. Lineage: Eukaryota; Metazoa; Chordata; Amphibia; Anura; Pelobatidae.
GCCUUGCCUGCUAUCAAGUAUUGCAGUUUACAUUACUACACAUGACAUACCAGCUAUAUAUCCUGUGUAGAAUUGGAACACCUAUUGUAAAGGGGUUAUGUCUCGCAUACCCGUCAUAAAAGGGUUAAGAUAAUGAUUUAUUUUGCUGAAUUCGCCAUACAUUCCCAGUCUUAGCUGCCAUUAAUGUAAAAAUAAAUAAAUAUUAUACAUAUAUACAUAUUUUUAUUUGCUUAACAUUAGAUCUACUUUCCACUAAUAUUACACAAUGCCCCUUUCUCAUCUGCAAAGUUCUUCAUGCACAGAUCCCCAGAAAGGCCUUUGUAUUGACCUUGAAUAUACUUGUGUAUGGUAAUGGUGUCCCUAUGUAGCUGUCUUUUUUCCAAAGUAAACAAGGCUGAUUUUGUAAGCCAGUUCUUGCAGCUGACAUCUUCCAUUCGUUUAAUUAAUUUUGUUUCUGUCUCUGAACUCUUUUUCUAUUCCAUUAUGUCUUUGACAUUACAAGGCACACACGUGUCUGUAGCA